UCCUGUGUAUAGAUCUCAGAGUUUACCCUGCUUAAACAAGCUAACUUGUCAUAGUUCACAGAUUCUAACAGAAGACAUGAGAGGCUGUUAUAACAGAGAUGAAGGAUGUUUCCAUUUGUGACACAGAAGAAGAUACAAGCUUCCUGUCUGCAUGGCUUGCUCCACAUCGCACGAGAGCAGCAAGGGGCUCAGUAAACUUUCAUGAGCUAUUUUCAGGAGUUACAAUAUAGUGAUGGUAACAUCUGCAUGCCAGAACAGAAAUGGACUCACUUCUUGCUAAAACCUUAUGAAAGUAAACCACUUGAUCAUUUCAAAAAGAAGUCUUCAACCUAUUGUCUGUCUUCUAGAAAACUCUGGUAGUAAAAGACAUUUAGAACUGGAAGUUGGCGUUUUAGAAUUUUUUUACUGUAUUUGAUCAGAAUGUAUUCAGUCUUAAGUGAUCAUAACUUACACGUUCAGCAGCU
RNAcentral lists this long non-coding RNA (464 nucleotides) under Mus caroli (Ryukyu mouse). Its description in RNAcentral is "predicted gene 43140 (MGP_CAROLIEiJ_G0003347.1)". The record is from RNAcentral. Lineage: Eukaryota; Metazoa; Chordata; Mammalia; Rodentia; Muridae.